UCACCCUGCUCUGUGUCUAGAAGAGAGCUGAACACGCAGUAGGACACAAUAAAUUAUAUUCAAAUGGCAGUCAAGGAGGAAACUUUUCUUCCUCAUCAACAAAGCUGAUCGAUGGGGGCUGAAGCCCCAGGGAAGAAGCAUCUGUUGUAACUCAAGGAUCCCGGCUUGAGCUGAGGAUGGAAUUAACAGGCACAGAGUGGUUGGCAGCCCAACGUUUGUGCAAGUCUGGCACAUGCACACAUCAUUAGCAACUAUGCUGGAGAAGAAUGAUCAAGGAGGUGAGGAGGGGAAUGGAUCUGAUUAAAGGGAUGUUCAAGAAAGGAAAUUCCAAGCACUUGGGUAAAAGCUUCAUAGCUAAAAUGAAUGAACUCGUGAGCAAAGCAAACAGCCAGGUACAUUUGGGAGAUGCUGACAGACAAUCUGGAUAAUUUUGCCUCUGAAACUUUCAAAACAAAGUCAUUUCAUGCAGUGAAUCACUGCUGUUUGUUUGCUCUGCUGUUUGUUGG
This 506-nucleotide long non-coding RNA is filed under the name Homo sapiens (human). RNAcentral's name for it is "long non-coding RNA NONHSAT198603.1". Lineage: Eukaryota; Metazoa; Chordata; Mammalia; Primates; Hominidae. The record is from RNAcentral.